Molecule: non-coding RNA, 69 nt
Filed under: unclassified sequences
Description: L13-Bacteroidia ribosomal protein leader
Rfam family: L13-Bacteroidia ribosomal protein leader
Source: RNAcentral
GGGCACAAAUGUGCCUUCGCGACUCGUGUGGAUAGCCUAUCCUUUGGCCAGGAAGACGGUCCGUGAAUC